Synchiropus splendidus (mandarinfish) is the source of this 278-nucleotide long non-coding RNA. RefSeq lists it as uncharacterized. Lineage: Eukaryota; Metazoa; Chordata; Actinopteri; Syngnathiformes; Callionymidae. The transcript has 4 exons. The record is from RefSeq and is a predicted model, not a curated record.
GGAAGAUUUGGGGCAGAUCAAGGACAGUCGAGGUUCUGGAGAUGAGAACACGUCCCUGAAAUCAUGGAAGGCCACACAGCUGAGGAGAACCGACAGAGGGAAGAAGCCUCUGGGCUGGUGAAGGCCAGUCAAGGUUCUGGAGAUGAGAACACGUCCCUGAACUCAUGGAAGGUCACACUGAUGAAUGGGGGAGGAUUCGGGGGCUUUGGCCUUGGACAUGUCCAGAAUGAUUCAAUGUUUGAUUAAAAUUUUCAAUAAAAUGUUCAGCUUAAUGAGGG